RNAcentral lists this ribosomal RNA (680 nucleotides) under Inocybe austrosquarrosa. RNAcentral's name for it is "eukaryotic LSU rRNA". It matches the Rfam family "Eukaryotic large subunit ribosomal RNA", at positions 34 to 691 of the family's 3401-position model. The record is from RNAcentral. Lineage: Eukaryota; Fungi; Basidiomycota; Agaricomycetes; Agaricales; Inocybaceae.
UUAAGCAUAUCAAUAAGCGGAGGAAAAGAAACUAACAAGGAUUCCCCUAGUAACUGCGAGUGAAGCGGGAAAAGCUCAAAUUUGAAAUCUGGCGGUUCUUGACCGUCCGAGUUGUAAUCUAGAGAAGUGUUACCUGUGCUGGACCGUGUACAAGUCUCCUGGAAUGGAGCAUCAUAGAGGGUGAGAAUCCCGUCUUUGACAUGGACUACCUGCACGUUAUGGUAUGCUCUCAAAGAGUCGAGUUGUUUGGGAAUGCAGCUCAAAAUGGGUGGUAAAUGCCAUCUAAAGCUAAAUAUUGGCGAGAGACCGAUAGCGAACAAGUACCGUGAGGGAAAGAUGAAAAGAACUUUGGAAAGAGAGUUAAACAGUACGUGAAAUUGCUGAAAGGGAAACGCUUGAAGUCAGUCGCGUUGACUAGAAAUCAGCCUUGCUUUUGCUUGGUGUACUUUCUGGCCGACGGGUCAGCAUCAGUUUUGAUCACUGGAUAAAGUCUUUGGGAACGUGGCAUUCUUUUUGGAUGUGUUAUAGCCCAUUGUCGCAUACAGUGGUUGGGAUUGAGGAACUCAGCACGCCCGCAAGGGCCAGGUUUUUUUACCAUGUUCGUGCUUAGGAUGCUGGCAUAAUGGCUUUAAUCGACCCGUCUUGAAACACGGACCAAGGAGUCUAACAUGCCUGCGAGU